Molecule: ribosomal RNA, 424 nt
Filed under: uncultured bacterium
Lineage: Bacteria
Description: partial 16S ribosomal RNA
Rfam family: Bacterial small subunit ribosomal RNA
Source: RNAcentral
AAUAUUAGACAAUGGGCGAAAGCCUGAUCUAGCCAUGCCGUGUGUGUGAAGAAGGUCUUCGGAUCGUAAAGCACUUUAAGUUGGGAGGAAAGGAUGUAGAUUAAUACUCUUCAAUUUUGACGUUACCGACAGAAUAAGCACCCGCUAACUACGUGCCAGCAGCCGCGGUAAUACGACGGGUGCUAGCGUUAAUCGGAAUGACUGGGCGUAAAGCGCGCGUAGGUGGUUCGUUAAGUUAGAAGUGAAAGCACCGGGCUUAACCUGGGAAUUGCUUUCAAAACUGACGAGCUAGAGUACGGUAGAGGGUAGUGGAAUUUCCUGUGUAGCGGGGAAAUGCGUAGAUAUAGGAAGGAACAUCAGUGGCGAAGGCGACUACCUGGACUGAUACUGACACUGAGGUGCGAAAGCGUGGGGAGCAAACAGG